UACGUAGGGUGCAAGCGUUGUUCGGAAUUAUUGGGCGUAAAGCGCGUGUAGGUGGUUAAGUAAGUCGGGUGUGAAAGCCCUGGGCUCAACCGAGGAAGUGCAUUCGAAACUACUUAGCUAGAGGACGGUAGAGGAAGGUGGAAUUCCUAGUGUAGAGGUGAAAUUCGUAAAUAUUAGGAGGAAUACCGGCGGCGAAGGCGGCCUUCUGGGCCGGUCCUGACACUGAGACGCGAAAGCGUGGGGAGCAAACAGG
RNAcentral lists this ribosomal RNA (253 nucleotides) under uncultured bacterium. Its description in RNAcentral is "partial 16S ribosomal RNA". It matches the Rfam family "Bacterial small subunit ribosomal RNA", at positions 524 to 776 of the family's 1533-position model. The record is from RNAcentral.